CAGCCGCGGUAAUACGGAGGAUCCAAGCGUUAUCCGGAAUCAUUGGGUUUAAAGGGUCCGCAGGCGGAUAAUUAAGUCAGAGGUGAAAUCCUACAGCUCAACUGUAGAACUGCCUUUGAUACUGGUUGACUUGAGUUAUUAGGAAGUAGAUAGAAUAUGUAGUGUAGCGGUGAAAUGCAUAGAUAUUACAUAGAAUACCGAUUGCGAAGGCAGACUACUACUAAUAUACUGACGCUGAUGGACGAAAGCGUGGGGAGCGAACAGGAUUAGAUACCCUGGUAGUCCACGCCGUAAACGAUGGACACUAGCUGUUGGGAUUUAUUUCAGUGACUAAGCGAAAGUGAUAAGUGUCCCACCUGGGGAGUACGAUCGCAAGAUUGAAACUCACAGGAAUUGAC
This 398-nucleotide ribosomal RNA is filed under the name uncultured Flexibacter sp. RNAcentral describes it as "bacterial SSU rRNA". It matches the Rfam family "Bacterial small subunit ribosomal RNA", at positions 512 to 914 of the family's 1533-position model. The record is from RNAcentral. Lineage: Bacteria; Pseudomonadati; Bacteroidota; Cytophagia; Cytophagales; Flexibacteraceae.